This is a long non-coding RNA of Brachypodium distachyon (stiff brome), 5487 nucleotides long. RefSeq annotates it as pentatricopeptide repeat-containing protein At1g09900. The transcript is spliced from 6 exons. NCBI's taxonomy places the organism in Eukaryota, Viridiplantae, Streptophyta, Magnoliopsida, Poales, Poaceae. The record is from RefSeq and is a predicted model, not a curated record.
CCAGUGGUCUGAAACUCCAAACGCCAUCCACUCUGACUCCAUCGUCACUGCGCACCACUAAGCCGAGCGCGCGCAAUGCAACCCCCAACCACUGCCACCGUCUUCUCCAAGCCUCUAGUUCCUGCCGCUGCCGCCUCCGCCCAUGCCUUUCCGGCUCGGACCAACCCUAAACCCUGCAGGAUCCAUCUCCGUCUCCGCCUCCGCCUUUCCACCGCGGCCACCUCCAGAUGGGUCAACCCGCGGGUCCCGCCCCGCCGCGGCGCGGCCAACGACCGGCUCCACCACUUCAUCCGCCUCGGCGACCUCGACGCUGCGCUCCAGCUGGUAGGAUCCAUGUCCGAGCCCCCGGCCGUCGUCCCCUGCACGCUACUCAUCAAGAAGCUCUGCGCCGCGGGUCGCCUCGCCGACGCGGAGGGCGUGCUCCGGGCUUCGGAGGCCGCCGACGCCGUCGACCACAACACCCUCGUCGCCGGGUAUUGCCGCGCGGGUCGUCUCGCCGACGCCGAGCGCAUGCUCCGGUCCCUGGCUGCCUCCGGCGCAGCCGACGUCGUCACGUACAACACCCUCAUCGCCGGGUACUGCCGCGGCGGCCGGCUCGAGGACGCCCGCCUCCUCGUCGCCUCCAUGCCCCCCGCGCCCAACUCCUAUGCCUACAACACCCUGCUCAAGGGCUUGUGCAGUGCCAAGCAGUGGGGCGACGCCGAGGAGCUCGUCGAGGAGAUGACCCGGAAUGAUUCACCUCCAGAUGAUCUCACAUUCGGUAUGUUGAUCCAUUCCUUCUGCCAAAGUGGGUUGGUUGACCGUGCAAUGGGAAUUCUGGAUCGAAUGUCAAAGUGCGGGUGCACUCCGGGUGCCAUCGUAUACAAUGAAAUUAUCAGUUGCUUUGCAGAGCUAGGGCGUGUGAAGGAGGCCCUUCACUUGUUUAGCUGUAUGCCGUGCAAGCCUGAUAUCUUUAGUUACAAUGCUGUUUUGAAAGGACUGUGUCGAGCUGAGCGCUGGGAGGACGCAGGGGAGCUUAUCACUGAGAUGGUUAGAAAGGAUUGCUCUCCAGAUGAAGUCACAUUCAACACAGUAAUCAGUUUCUUGUGCCACAAGGGGUUGGUUGAUUGUGCACUAGAAGUUGUCGACCAAAUGCCAAAGUACGGACGUAAGCCUGAUAAUUUCACUUACAGUGCUCUUAUCAAUGCCUUCUCUGAACAAGGGUGUGUGGAAGAUGCUCUUGAGUUACUAAGAAGCAUGCCCUGCAGUCCUAACACUGUUUGCUACAAAUCUGUAUUGAAGGGUCUGUGCAGAGAUGGUCAGUGGGAGGAUGUUGGCCAGCUUAUAGGUGAGAUGGUUAGAAACGACUGCGCCCCUGAUGAAAUGGUAUUUGGGUUAAUCAUUGACUGUUUGUGCCAAAGAGGGCUGGUUGACUGUGGACUUGAAGUUCUUCAAGAAGUUCCAAAUUAUGGAUGCUCCCCUGAUGUUGUCAUGUACACUUCUCUUCUUAAUGGGUUUGCUGAAUAUGGGCGUGUGGAUGAUUCCCUCAAGUUAUUUAAAAGCAUGACGUGCAAACCUAAUACAGUUACCUAUAACUAUGUGUUGAUGGGUUUAUGUAAAGUUGAGCUAUGGGAGGAUGCUGGGAAGCUUAUUGACGAGAUGGUUGGGCAGGAGUGUCCUCCAAAUGAAAUGACAUUUAGUAUCCUUAUCAGCUCCUUGUGCCAAAAAGGAUUGGUUGAGUGUGCAAUUGAUGUUUUUGAGAAAAUGCAAAUGUACGGAUGCACACCUAAUGUCAUCAUUUAUAGCACACUUAACAAUGGUCUUUCUGAAAAGGGAUGUGUUGACAACGCCCUCAAGUUACUAAACAACAUGUCGUGCAAGGCUGACACCAUUUGUUAUAGCUCUGCGUUGAAGGGCUUGUGUAGGGCUGAGCUGUGGGAGGAUGCUGGGGAGCUUAUAGUCGAAAUGUUUCGAAAAGAUUGCCCCCCAGAUGAGGUCACAUUUAGUAUAAUAAUAACUAAUUUGUGCCAACAAGGGUUUGUCGAGUAUGCAACUGAAGUCUCAGAUCUAAUGCUAAAGUAUGAAUGCACGCCUAAUAUUGUAAUUUACAGUUCUCUCAUAAAUGGUUUCUCAGAACAUGGCCAUCUGGAAGAUGCUCUCAAGUUACUUAGAAGCAUGCCAUGUGAGCCUGACACAUCUGUUACAGCGCUGCCCUGAAAGGUUUGUGUAGAUCAAAGCGAUGGGAGGAUGCCCGGGAGCUUAUAGCUGAAAUGUUUAGAGAGGAGUGCCCAGUAGAUGAAGCAGUAUUCAGCAUACUCAUUGAUUCGUUAUGCCGGAAUGGAUUGCUUGACUUGGCGACUGAAGUUUUUGAGCAAAUGCCAAAGUACAGAUGUACUCCUAAUAUGGUGAUAUACAACUCCGUUGUUAAUGGCUUUUCUGAGCAAGGACGUGUCGAUGAAGCCUCAAGUUAUUAAACAACAUGUCAUGAAAGUUUAGAACCAUUUUCGGUCAGAAAGCAUUGAAGAGCUUAGAGUUGAGAGAAUGCUAAUGGCCUAAGGUAUUAUUCAGGGAGGUAUGCAUCCCUGAUGAGAUGAAGUGGCAUAUAUCAUAGUCACUAACUGCUUGUGACAGAAAACUUUGGGCCAGGAGUGCAACUGCAGUUCAUGAGCAUGGAUAGAAUCUUCACGGUGUGGUUCUCAUUGGCUUUCUAGCUUAUAUGGGUGAGUGAUACGGAUACCCCCUCCUCAAUUUACUGCCCUGGAAACUGGGUGCUUGUCAAUGGAAUUUCUCAUUAGACUUAGACAUCAAUAUUUCUACCAUGAGAGCUGAUCAAUAUAUUAAAUUCGAGUGAAAGAAAACAGAUCGGUGAAGGACUACAUCCAAUUGAAAUGAAGGCCAUGCUAAUUCUAAGCGUAAGAUAUUUGUUGUGUUUACAAGUCAAUGGUCUUGCUUGGUCAGAAAUAUUGUUAAGGAACGAAAUAUAGUGAUCAGUAAUGGAGAUUGCUGAAAUAUCGAUUAAUUGCAGCCUCUUGCCAGAGAACCAAUUGGAUGAACAUUCAAUCAAAUAUAAUCAGGGGUCAGUUGCAACUUACAAGGGGCCUAGCAGUUUAAGAACAGUGCCUCUGAGAAUCACUAAAAAAUAGGCCAGACCUUCACUUAACAAUUGGGUGGCCAAUACAGAUUGAAUUUUUCAAAUAGGUGGGAAGGGUGACUUAUGCCAAGAGCUAAUUCUGUAUAAGUUUACUGGAAUUUGUGUGAGAUAUGUGCAUGUGGAAGAUGCAGAUUACGUCUUUGAUGAACAGAAUAUAAAGCAGUUAGUUUCAACUUCCAGUUAGUGGAGACUGAUUGCGCCCAACUUAUUGUUCACGGGCGAAGGGGGAGCUGGGAUGAUCCUAAAAGACAGCACUGGAGCAACGUUUAGUGCUGUCCGUUAUUUGCCGUCCUGCGGAGAUGCUUUUGAGGCCGAAUUGGCUGCAUGCACGGAGGGCUUGCCCAUAGCCGUCCAAGCUCCAAAGGACUGAGCUGCAGUUCACGCCGAAUUGGCUGCAUGCACGGAGGGCUUGCCCAUAGCCGUCCAAACUCCAAAGGACUGAGCUGCGCCAAAGUUCACGGUGACUCCACCGCUAUCUUGCCUCCCAUGGAUACCGAUGGAUCUGCAUCGUGUAUUGAUCAGACGGUCCGGGAAAAUCGUGGGUUCUGAAGCCUAUUUGACUAAUUUUCUAGGCCUGCACAGAGUCUUGUCAUGUCGGGCUUGUCAGAUGGCCCACCUUUUUGCCAGGCCCGGCUCAACGAGUCUCUCCUCUCGUUCUUUUCUCUUCCUCCCCACCGAAGCCCUCCUCUCCUGUACCUGCCGCUACCGAGCCGCCGUUACUCCUCCGGCACUGAGGGCGGCCGCCGGCCGGUCGCCUCUCCCGUCCCCUUCCCUGCUCCCGACGCUUCCCCUCUCCUGCGCCCUGGACCUGAGGCCGUCGGUACUCCUCCGCCACAGAGGGCGGCUGCUGGCCGGUCGCCUCUCCCGUCCCCUUCCCUGCUCCCGAGGCUUCCCCUCCUCUUGCGCCAUGGCCGGACGGGGCCAGAUCCAGCCGCCCUCGGCCCUGCCAACGCCGGAUCCAGCCUUCCUUGGUCCUGCCGACGCCGGAUCCGGACGAGCGAGGAGAUACGAAGUAGGGCGCAGCCGCCGCCGGCCUCCGCCAUCGCCGCCGGUCCCUAGAUGUUCUUGACUUCUUGUACGUUUUUCAUAUGUAAUGAUGAUCAUCUAGAAGUUUACACACUUGACGAAAUGUGCAUAUUGUGCUGACAAUUAAGUACCAACGAGGUUCAUGAAGUGAGUGUGGAGGCUGAACCAGAACGUGCCAUGGUAGAGAAAGAUGCAUCAGAUUCUUCGGUUCAACUUCAAGAUGUGAAGGUGUACCAAAGGCCUAAUAUCUCGACUAAGAUGUACAACAGGAUUGCAAAGAAGCUUCGGUUCAACUUCAAGAUGGAGUCCCAUCUUGAUGUACCACAGAUAGAGGUGGAGUCACCAUGAACUUUCUGAGUCUUAUAGUUUUAUACGUACCGUCUCAAUCUCGAAAGAAUGUAUGUACCGUCUCUUCUUGGUGUUGCCUUUUCAUUCCAUCAAGUCUUCUGUCAAAGUACUUCAUCAAGGGGAGUACUUUCUGAGUCCAUUCACACAUUAACUAAUAACAUUAUAUAUUAUAUGGGCUUCAUGAAUUUGAAACCAUCAUGUACUUGUACUUAGCUUCUGUUUAACCCAUGAAGUAAUUAAUUACCCUGUAAUUGCAUCAAUUAAGAUUCAAAUUGUACCUGGAUUGUAUAUGUCCAAACCAUCAUGUACUUCAUGUAUUCUACUUCAUAGUUGUUGUCCUCUGUCUUUUAUCAAAUGACAUACCAAUUACUUGGUGUACUUCUGAUAUCUGCUACUUUUCUGCAAUCCAGUACCAAUGAUCAUGUUUUGGGUCACACAUAUAGUUACUUUUCAACUUCAUUGCUUUAGUCCAUGAGUGCUGAUGCUCUUAUAGUUUUCAUAUGUACUGAUGAUGAUUUCGAAGUUUACACACUUGACGAAAUGUACAUAUGCUGCUGACAAUUAAGUACCAACGCGGUUCCAUGGCAGAGAAAGAUGCAUCAGAUUCUUCCGUUCAACUUCAAGAUGUGAAGGUGUACCAAAGGCGUAAUAUCUUGACUAAGAUGUACACCAGGGUUGCAAAGAAGCUUCGUGGCGGACGGAGAUGCAACGACUACGGUUAUCAGUGAAGGCGCUAGUACUAUUUAGUUGUUUCAGAAUGGAAGAAUGUAUGAAAAUGAAAUGGUACUUGUUAUGUUUGUGAUAUUUUGAAGGUACCUGUAGGAAAUGGUAGUCGGUGACAGGUUGUGUUUCUUAGUACUUGGUGAAUUCUGGAAGGAUUUGAUGGCAGUACUAGAUUGUCAUGUGGACCAUAAUUAUUCGUAUGUUAUCCGUAAUAUUUGUUACGGACUAUUUGUUUUCUCAAUUGAGGCAUGUGCUUGGCA